UACGUAGGCAGCAAGCGUUGUCCGGAAUCAUUGGGCGUAAAGAGCGUGUAGGCGGCUCGGUAAGUCCGCUCUGAAAGCCCGGGGCUCAACCCCGGGAGGCGGGCGGAUACUGUCGGGCUAGAGUCCGGAAGAGGCGAGUGGAAUUCCUGGUGUAGCGGUGAAAUGCGCAGAUAUCAGGAGGAACACCAAUGGCGAAGGCAGCUCGCUGGGACGGUACUGACGCUGAGACGCGAAAGCGUGGGGAGCAAACAGG
Molecule: ribosomal RNA, 253 nt
Filed under: uncultured bacterium
Lineage: Bacteria
Description: partial 16S ribosomal RNA
Rfam family: Bacterial small subunit ribosomal RNA
Source: RNAcentral